This is a long non-coding RNA of Gambusia affinis (western mosquitofish), 315 nucleotides long. RefSeq lists it as uncharacterized. The transcript has 3 exons. The record is from RefSeq and is a predicted model, not a curated record. Lineage: Eukaryota; Metazoa; Chordata; Actinopteri; Cyprinodontiformes; Poeciliidae.
AAUCAACAGAAAAAGGCCUUCGUCGCCCACCCCUGCUGAUGGAUGACCCUUCCAUCAGAAUCAGCAGUCUUCCUCAAAAAAAUGCUGCAGUCAUUGUCCAACCAUGGACCAAUGAAAACGACCUUCAUCGCUCCCCCACCAAUGGACGGGAAAUACCUUCACCGGCCCCGCCCACUGAAGGAUGACCUUGGUGACCCUACCACUGGGCUUAGCAUGUUUUCUUCCAGGUGAACAGGAAUCUUCCUGGAUCAUCUCGUUUUCUUCUGAUUUCGCCCUUCAUCGCCACCGCAGACACUGAUGCAACAGGCCUUCAUC